UAGGAAAACAAAUUCUAUUGAAAAAAGGGAAACACAAUCGACGGUCAAGAAGCACUUAACACACCUGAGUAGAGUCUACAAAACUCUAUCCGAGUUUUUCUUAAUUCUAAUCCAAUGGUUAUAAAUAAAUGGAUCAUAUCUCUCCUGAUACAUUUAAUACCUUAGUCUAUCUCUCUCUUAAUUGAUAAAGAACCAUAAGAGAUAUGUAAGCUUUUUAAAUGACUUGUAAGCUCCAUAAAUCUCUCUCUAUCUCCUCCUUUUUGAUUGGUUUUCUUAUUAGGUCUCUUCUAUCUCUUAUCAUUUAGUUGAAUGAUGAAAAUUUCUCUGUAUCUCACACAUUCUCGCGCAUGUAAGGGAAACAUUAAUGUAAAUACAUAACAUAAUUAUUAAGAAUAUGGAUUUAUUAUAUAAAUUGGUUAAUAAAGAUAAAAAUUAGAACGACUCCAUUAUAGAAUAGAAGUAAGAGAAAAAUAGUCCUAGAGCCAGAAAAAGAGAGCAGAAAUGGAAUGAGAAGAGGGGGACACGAGUCUAAAGAGAAGAAAAUAGAGAGAAAGUUAUUAAGAAAAUAUUCAAAGCAUAUAUAAUACAGAUUGCCGACGCUAGAGAGAAAGACCAAAGAGAGGAAAUUAUUGAGAAAAUAUUCAAACACUAUAUAAAGUCCGCUCAACAAUGUUUUGUAGACUUGGGCCCUGGACUCAAUUGUUUUGUAGACUUAGGCCAUGGACUCGGCCUUAGCUUGAGCUCAGUAACUUGUUGAAGCUUGCUAAGUCAUGAACCUAGCCCAAAAAAUCCUAAAAAUAGUCACAAAAAACUUAAAUAAGCAUUUCAGAAAAAUCUAGAAAAAGAAAAUACAAAAAAUAGAAUUCAACAAUAAAACACAAAAAUCAAUAUAUUAUACAUCAAAAUUGUAUGUAUAGUUUUUAUACAUCAAUUGUAGAGGUUUAUAUAUUUUUAUUUUUUCAAUAUACCAGAGUUGUAAUUGGGUACUCAGCUUGGCCAAGGGCUAAGUCCAAGUGGACUCGGCUGAGUAGCUAAAGACUGCUAUGAAACUAUAAUGAGUGGGGAAGGGGGGAUGAUGAAGACAUAGAUGAGGAGAAAAUUAGCGGGCAAGACUGCAGAGAUCCAUUCUGUUCAUUGGUGGUGGCAAACCUUUGUAUUUUGACUCAAAGGGCUUCACUUCCUAAGCAUAACUUGGUUGUGACCUAGCUCUCUAUGUCUUGCCUAAAUAUUAGGUGCUAUAGACGAUAUGCACACAAAGAAGCUGAUGCCAUUUUCAAUAGAGGUUCUUGAGGGUCAUUGAAAGGGAUGUCCACCAAAAUGUGGUUGAUGUUGCUCUCAAUGCUAGAAGAUAGGAUGAGCUAUUGCUUUGUCUUGAGUGCAAGAUCACAAUGGCAACUCACCAAGGUCAAAUUGCAAUAGGUUGUGGAUUGUAACCCAUUACAAAGCUCUUAGGCUAGGUUUUCUCAUAUGUUGUUCUCGGUACUAAUACCACGCACAUGUUCUACAGGGAUAACAGUUUUGAAUAUGUACAAUAUGUGAUGAUGUGAUGUCUAGAGGCAUGGUUACUUGGGGCACUCUAAUCUUAAGCCUUGUUGAUUUGGGAUCUUCAACAAGGCGUCAAAGCUCUUUCGUGACAAAUAAUAAUGAGAUGUAUGGUUUAUCAAAUAAAUUCAUAUAUUUUAUUAUGUAGUAAAUAUGUUUGUCUUUAUUUUAGGAUAUCAAUUUGAUGUGUCAGCCGAUGCAUCUAUUUACAUGCGUCCCCCUCCAAAAUCCAUGUAUUCAAAAUUUUAAAAGGUUGAUAAUCUCAACCUUGGUGAUUAUGAACAUGUAAAGAAAAAAAAAAAAGAAGUAUAUAAAUGAUAUUGUAUUGGACAUUUUAGUUUGUGGAAGAGGCAUCUUGAAUGAUGGUGGUUUGCUGUGUAAGUGAUACAACUCUAUCCAGUAUAGACUAUACUGCAUCUCUCAAUUUAUCAAAUACGUUUUCUAUUUUUUCCUAAUUAUUUCGGUAUAUCACAAUAUUCAUAUACAAUUAUAAAUAUUAUAAAUUAUAUUUCUUUUACCAUUAUGACAACAAAAAAUAAUUUAUCAAGUUUAUUAAGUAAUUUAUUAUUAUUUUUUUUGAAAAUAUUUAUGUGCUUUAACUUUAUUAAAAGGAUCAAAUUACAGCAAUGUAGAAUUAACUAAUUUAUUUUUCUUUAACUUUGUUUAUUUUCAUACUGAUAAGCAAAAGUAGUGUACAUCAAUAACAAAUGUUCAAAACAAAAAUCAUAUUUAAUCUAAAUUGAAGACUUUUAGUACAUUAAAUUAGAGCACAAGUAACUAAAUGUAUAGCUUACUGCUAUAAAUAUUUGAAAAAAUGUGUUAAAUACUUACCCUAUCCUUGAUCGACUACAAUGUCUCAAAGAUUUAAUAUCUCAAAUAUAUGGUACAUACUUGAAAUAUUG
This 2444-nucleotide long non-coding RNA is filed under the name Amborella trichopoda. RNAcentral's name for it is "long non-coding RNA (ATRI_LNC001669)". The record is from RNAcentral. Lineage: Eukaryota; Viridiplantae; Streptophyta; Magnoliopsida; Amborellales; Amborellaceae.